This 393-nucleotide ribosomal RNA is filed under the name uncultured bacterium. RNAcentral describes it as "bacterial SSU rRNA". It matches the Rfam family "Bacterial small subunit ribosomal RNA", at positions 355 to 764 of the family's 1533-position model. The record is from RNAcentral.
UAGGGAAUAUUGCAAAAUGGGCGAAAGCCCGAUGCAGCAACGCCGCGUGGGCGAUGAAGGCCUUCGGGUCGUAAAGCCCUUUUUGAGGGGAUGAGGAAGGACAGUACCCUCAGAAUAAGCCUCGGCUAACUACGUGCCAGCAGCCGCGGUAAAACGUAGGAGGCGAGCGUUAUCCGGAGUUACUGGGCGUAAAGCGCGUGCAGGCGGAUUGGAGAGUUGGAUGUGAAAGCUCCCGGCUUAACUGGGAGAGGUCGUUCAAUACUUCCAGUCUUGAGUGCAGUAGAGGGAAGUGGAAUUCCGGGUGUAGUGGUGAAAUGCGUAGAUAUCCGGAGGAACACCAGUGGCGAAAGCGGCUUCCUGGACUGUAACUGACGCUCAGACGCGAAAGCUAGG